This 22-nucleotide microRNA is filed under the name Salmo salar (Atlantic salmon). RNAcentral describes it as "ssa-miR-125b-3-3p". Its record names the gene ssa-miR-125b-3-3p. The record is from miRBase by way of RNAcentral. Lineage: Eukaryota; Metazoa; Chordata; Actinopteri; Salmoniformes; Salmonidae.
ACAGGUGAGGACCUUGGGAACA